GGAGGAAAAGAAACUAACAAGGAUUCCCCUAGUAACGGCGAGUGAAGCGGGAUGAGCUCAAAUUUAAAAUCUGGCGGUCUCAGAUCGUCCGAGUUGUAGUCUAGAGAAGCGUUUUCCGUGCUGGCCUGUGUACAAGUCCGUUGGAACACGGCGUCAUAGAGGGUGAGAAUCCCGUCCUUGACACAGAUCUCCAGUGCUUUGUGAUGCGCUCUCAAAGAGUCGAGUUGUUUGGGAAUGCAGCUCAAAAUGGGUGGUAAAUUCCAUCUAAAGCUAAAUAUUGGCGAGAAACCGAUAGCGAACAAGUACCGUGAGGGAAAGAUGAAAAGCACUUUGGAAAGAGAGUUAAACAGUACGUGAAAUUGUUGAAAGGGAAACGAUUGAAGUCAGUCAUGCUUUCCGAGACUCAGCCGGCUCUGCCGGUGUACUUCUCGGUUUGCAGGCCAGCAUCAGUUUUGGGCGGUGGAAAAGGUUGGCGGGAAUGUGGCAUCCUCGGAUGUGUUAUAGCCCGCUUUCGAAUACAUCGCCCGGGACUGAGGAACGCAGCACGCCUCUUGUAGGUCGGUCUUCGGACACGUCCGUGCUUAGGAUGCUGGCAUAAGG
Molecule: ribosomal RNA, 600 nt
Filed under: Tausonia pullulans
Lineage: Eukaryota; Fungi; Basidiomycota; Tremellomycetes; Cystofilobasidiales; Mrakiaceae
Description: eukaryotic LSU rRNA
Rfam family: Eukaryotic large subunit ribosomal RNA
Source: RNAcentral